GGAUAUAGCUGGUUCUCCCCGAAAUAGGUUUAGGCCUAGCCUUGAGAUUUAGCACUGUGGAGGUAGAGCACUGAAUAUAUGAUGGCCCCGUCUAGGGGUACUGAAUGUAAUCAAACUCCGAAUGCCAUGGUUGUAUGCUCAGGAGUCAGCGUAUGGGUGAUAACGUCCAUGCGCGAAAGGAAAAGAGUCCGGAUCGCCAGUUAAGGUCCCAAAAUUUGUACUAAGUGGGAAAGGAUGUGGAGUUGUCAAAACAGCUAGGAGGUUGGCUCAGAAGCAGCCAUCCUUUAAAGAGUGCGUAAUAGCUCACUAGUCGAGUGACACUGCGCCGAAGAUGUACCGGGGCUAAGUACAAUACCGAAACUGCGGAUUCACAUUUAUAUGUGAGUGGUAGGGGAGCGUUCCAAGUUGAGUUGAAGGUAGACCGUGAGGACUGCUGGAUUACUUGGAAGUGAGAAUGCCGGUGUGAGUAGCGCAAGAUGGGUGAGAAUCCCAUCCACCGUUUGACUAAGGGUUCCUGGGGCAGGUUCGUCCGCCCAGGGUUAGUCGGGUCCUAAGACGAGGCCGAGAGGCGUAGCCGAUGGACAACAGGUUGAUAUUCCUGUACUACCUAUAAGACUGAUGGAGUGACGGAGAAGGUUAGGAAAAGCCAGUUAUUGGAUUCUGGUCUAAGCACAAAGGCUUAUAAAUUAGGAAAUCUGUUUAUAAUUAAGCUGAAGUGUGAUGGUGAAGUCGCUUGCGACGAAAUUUUCUGACACUAUGCUUCCAAGAAAAGCUUCUAGGGUUAAUCUUAUAGGUACCCGUACUCAGAACCGACACAGGUGGUCAAGGAGAGUAUCCUAAGGUGAGCGAGAGAACUAUGGUUAAGGAACUCGGCAAAAUAACCCCGUAACUUCGGGAGAAGGGGUGGUCACUAGAUGACCGACACUAAAGACGCCCAGGCAACUGUUUACCAAAAACACAGGUCUCUGCUAAGUCGUAAGACGAUGUAUAGGGGCUGACACCUGCCCAGUGCUGGAAGGUUAAGAGGAGUGCUUAGAUAGACGCAAGUCGAUUAUUCGAAGGUACGAAUUGAAGCCCCAGUGAACGGCGGCCGUAACUAUAACGGUCCUAAGGUAGCGAAAUUCCUUGUCAGGUAAGUUCUGACCCGCACGAAAGGUGUAAUGAUCUGGGCACUGUCUCAACCAUAGACUCGGUGAAAUCUUAAUACCUGUGAAAAUGCAGGUUACCCGCAACAGGACGGAAAGACCCCAUGGAGCUUUACUGUAGCUUGAUAUUGAAGUUCGGUAUAUUAUGUAGAGAAUAGGUGGGAGACUAUGAAGUUAGGACGCUAGUUCUAAUGGAGUCACCUUUGGAAUACCACCCUUAAUGUAUUGAAUUUCUAACCUCGAUCCAUUAUCUGGAUUAGGGACAGUGUCUGGUGGGCAGUUUGACUGGGGCGGUCGCCUCCCAAAAAGUAACGGAGGCGCCCAAAGGUUCCCUCAGAAUGGUUGGACAUCAUUCAAAGAGCGUAAAGGUAUAAGGGAGCUUGACUGCGAGACCAACAAGUCGAGCAGAUACGAAAGUAGGGCUUAGUGAUCAGACGAUUCAGAAUGGAAUGGUCGUCGCUUAACGGAUAAAAGUUACCCUGGGGAUAACAGGCUGAUACCACCCAAUAGUUCACAUAGACGGUGGUGUUUGGCACCUCGAUGUCGGCUCGUCGUAUCCUGGAGGUGAAGUCGCUUCCAAGGGUUGGGCUGUUCGCCCAUUAAAACGGCACGCGAGCUGGGUUCAGAACGUCGUGAGACAGUUCGGUCCCUAUCCGUUGUGGGCG
Molecule: ribosomal RNA, 1810 nt
Filed under: human gut metagenome
Description: bacterial LSU rRNA
Rfam family: Bacterial large subunit ribosomal RNA
Source: RNAcentral